GUGAGGAAUUUUCCGCAAUGGGCGAAAGCCUGACGGAGCAAUGCCGCGUGAAGGAUGAAGGCCUAUGGGUUGUAAACUUCUUUUCUCAGAAAAGAAUUAUGACGGUAUCUGAGGAAUAAGCAUCGGCUAACUCUGUGCCAGCAGCCGCGGUAAGACAGAGGAUGCAAGCGUUAUCCGGAAUGAUUGGGCGUAAAGCGUCUGUAGGUUGUUUAAAAAGUAUUCUGUCAAAGAUGAGGGCUUAACCGUAGAUAGGCAGACUAAACUUUUAAGCUAGAGUUUGGUAGAGGCAGAGGGAAUUCCCGGUGGAGCGGUGAAAUGCGUAGAUAUCGGGAGGAACACCAAAGGCGAAGGCACUCUGCUGGGCCAAUACUAACACUGAGAGACGAAAGCGAGGGGAGCAAAUGGGAUUAGAAACCCCUGUAGUCC
RNAcentral lists this ribosomal RNA (426 nucleotides) under uncultured bacterium. RNAcentral's name for it is "partial 16S ribosomal RNA". It matches the Rfam family "Bacterial small subunit ribosomal RNA", at positions 354 to 796 of the family's 1533-position model. The record is from RNAcentral.